RNAcentral lists this ribosomal RNA (1099 nucleotides) under Salegentibacter sp. RNAcentral describes it as "bacterial SSU rRNA". It matches the Rfam family "Bacterial small subunit ribosomal RNA", at positions 47 to 1133 of the family's 1533-position model. The record is from RNAcentral. Lineage: Bacteria; Pseudomonadati; Bacteroidota; Flavobacteriia; Flavobacteriales; Flavobacteriaceae.
CAAAUCGCUGCCUACCAUGCAGUCGAGGGGUAACAUAGAAAAGCUUGCUUUUCUGAUGACGACCGGCGCACGGGUGCGUAACGCGUAUACAACCUACCUUUUAGCGGGGAAUAGCCCAGGGAAACUUGGAUUAAUGCCCCAUAGUAUAUGGACUUCUCCUGAAGUUUAUAUUAAACAUUUAUGGCUAUUAGAUGGGUAUGCGUCCUAUUAGUUAGUUGGUAAGGUAACGGCUUACCAAGGCAGCGAUAGGUAGGGGUCCUGAGAGGGAGAUCCCCCACACUGGUACUGAGACACGGACCAGACUCCUACGGGAGGCAGCAGUGAGGAAUAUUGGACAAUGGGCGAGAGCCUGAUCCAGCCAUGCCGCGUGCAGGAAGACUGCCCUAUGGGUUGUAAACUGCUUUUACAGAGGAAGAACCACCCCCACGUGUGGGGGUUUGACGGUACUCUGCGAAUAAGGAUCGGCUAACUCCGUGCCAGCAGCCGCGGUAAUACGGAGGAUCCAAGCGUUAUCCGGAAUCAUUGGGUUUAAAGGGUCCGUAGGCGGGCAGUUAAGUCAGUGGUGAAAGUCUUCCGCUCAACGGGAGAACUGCCAUUGAUACUGAUUGUCUUGAGUUAUUAUGAAGUGGUUAGAAUGAGUAGUGUAGCGGUGAAAUGCAUAGAUAUUACUCAGAAUACCGAUUGCGAAGGCAGAUCACUAAUAAUAUACUGACGCUGAUGGACGAAAGCGUAGGUAGCGAACAGGAUUAGAUACCCUGGUAGUCUACGCCGUAAACGAUGGUUACUAGCUGUUCGGCCCAAUUGAGGGCUGAGUGGUUAAGCGAAAGUGAUAAGUAACCCACCUGGGGAGUACGUUCGCAAGAAUGAAACUCAAAGGAAUUGACGGGGGCCCGCACAAGCGGUGGAGCAUGUGGUUUAAUUCGAUGAUACGCGAGGAACCUUACCAGGCUUAAAUGUAGUCUGACAGGUCUGGAAACAGACUUUUCUUCGGACAGAUUACAAGGUGCUGCAUGGUUGUCGUCAGCUCGUGCCGUGAGGUGUCAGGUUAAGUCCUAUAACGAGCGCAACCCCUGUGGUUAGUUGCCAGCGAGUAAUGUCG